UGUGUUCAUUGUAAAUCUGCUCAUCUAAACAUACAAGGCGGAACCAAUCGAUCACAGAGAGCGAUCGCUGCUGACACCGUCAGCAGCACUUACAUUCAGAUUACAAUAAUAUUUCACAUUAUUACAUUCAGAUUACAAUAAUAUUUCACAUUAUAAGUGUUUUUAUAUCAAAUAAAUGCAGCCUUGGUGAGCAGAAUAGAUUUAUUUAAUUAUUUAAUAUUAUUUAUAUAAUAAGGCUAGUUUGUGCAGUUACAUCUAUGUCAAUUGAGCGUAAGAAGGGAUUAAAAUUGAUUGUGUUAUGUUCUGUAAUUGUUGUUAAUAAAUCUUUCAGAAGAAAGUGUGUAAAAGUUUGACUACAGUAACCAUAUCUAACCAAGCUUCAAGUACCAAGAUAAUUAUUUCAUUUAUUUCUCUGAAUUCAGAAUUCAGAACUGUUCAUUUAUGCAGUUUAUGCUUUAUUUAUAGGUAGCAUAACUGUUACCUUUUUUUUUACAGUUCUGCAUAUAUAAUAUGACAAACCUAGGAGACUUUGCUGUAAGAGAAUUAAUCAUGUUUUUGUUUUCUUUUCUCAGGUCCGGUCAGUACCCACCACCCUUCCCUGUUCACCCACAGUUUAUACUUUUUCUUAGAAAACCAACGGCUCUUUUAAGAGCCACUUCAAUAAUCAACUCACUCACUCUCCUCAAAAAUGCCAGGCCAGGGGUCAACAACUAGAAAGUGUGUGGUCUGCCAUACACAACUAAAUGUAGCUUGCAAAACCUGCAACACAUGCAAGGUAGAGCAGCCACAUAAGCUUCGGGUAAAAAAGAACUGAAGAAAUGUGAUCAGAAGCGGGAGAGCUGGGUGCAUGAUGAAGAUAUGGAAGAUAUGCUGGCCUGGAAGAAAACCAAAUGCUUGGGGGUCUGAGGUUUUGACACCCCAUUAUCACUUGACUGAGACAUCCAUUACAUGCUUGGAAAGAUUAAAGAACCUAUUCAAAG
Molecule: non-coding RNA, 980 nt
Organism: Misgurnus anguillicaudatus (oriental weatherfish)
Lineage: Eukaryota; Metazoa; Chordata; Actinopteri; Cypriniformes; Cobitidae
Source: RefSeq, a predicted model, not a curated record